RNAcentral lists this ribosomal RNA (429 nucleotides) under Chloroflexota bacterium. RNAcentral describes it as "Chloroflexi bacterium partial 16S ribosomal RNA". It matches the Rfam family "Bacterial small subunit ribosomal RNA", at positions 355 to 776 of the family's 1533-position model. Lineage: Bacteria; Bacillati; Chloroflexota. The record is from RNAcentral.
UGGGGAAUAUUGCACAAUGGGCGCAAGCCUGAGGCAGCCAUGCCGCGUGUGUGAAGAAGGCCUUCGGGUUGUAAAGCACUUUCAGCGGGGAGGAAGGCGAUAAGGUUAAUAACCUUGUCGAUUGACGUUACCCGCAGAAGAAGCACCGGCUAACUCCGUGCCAGCAGCCGCGGUAAUACGGAGGGUGCAAGCGUUAAUCGGAAUUACUGGGCGUAAAGCGCACGCAGGCGGUCUGUCAAGUCGGAUGUGAAAUCCCCGGGCUCAACCUGGGAACUGCAUUCGAAACUGGCAGGCUAGAGUCUUGUAGAGGGGGGUAGAAUUCCAGGUGUAGCGGUGAAAUGCGUAGAGAUCUGGAGGAAUACCGGUGGCGAAGGCGGCCCCCUGGACGAAGACUGACGCUCAGGUGCGAAAGCGUGGGGAGCAAACAGG